This 477-nucleotide ribosomal RNA is filed under the name uncultured bacterium. Its description in RNAcentral is "partial 16S ribosomal RNA". It matches the Rfam family "Bacterial small subunit ribosomal RNA", at positions 28 to 523 of the family's 1533-position model. The record is from RNAcentral.
GACGAACGCUGGCGGCGUGCUUAACACAUGCAAGUCGAACGGUAAGGCCCUUCGGGGUACACGAGUGGCGAACGGGUGAGUAACACGUGGGUGAUCUGCCCUGCACUUCGGGAUAAGCCUGGGAAACUGGGUCUAAUACCGGAUAGGACCACUGCCUACAUGGGUGGUGGUGGAAAGCUUUUGCGGUGUGGGAUGGGCCCGCGGCCUAUCAGCUGGUUGGUGGGGUGAUGGCCUACCAAGGCGACGACGGGUAGCCGGCCUGAGAGGGUGACCGGCCACACUGGGACUGAGAUACGGCCCAGACUCCUACGGGAGGCAGCAGUGGGGAAUAUUGCACAAUGGGCGCAAGCCUGAUGCAGCGACGCCGCGUGAGGGAUGACGGCCUUCGGGUUGUAAACCUCUUUCAGCACCGACGAAGCGCAAGUGACGGUAGGUGCAGAAGAAGGACCGGCCAACUACGUGCCAGCCGCGCCGUAA